UUCCCUCGCUCAGGGCUUCAGAA
This 23-nucleotide unclassified non-coding RNA is filed under the name Mus musculus (house mouse). RNAcentral describes it as "oocyte_clustered_small_RNA2377". The record is from RNAcentral. Lineage: Eukaryota; Metazoa; Chordata; Mammalia; Rodentia; Muridae.